RNAcentral lists this ribosomal RNA (388 nucleotides) under Pseudo-nitzschia pseudodelicatissima. RNAcentral describes it as "SSU rRNA". It matches the Rfam family "Eukaryotic small subunit ribosomal RNA", at positions 605 to 994 of the family's 1831-position model. The record is from RNAcentral. Lineage: Eukaryota; Bacillariophyta; Bacillariophyceae; Bacillariales; Bacillariaceae.
UAAAGUUGUUGCAGUUAAAAAGCUCGUAGUUGGAUUUGUGGUGUGUCCAGUUGGCCUUUGCUCUUUGAGUGAUUGCGCUUUACUGGUCUGCCAUGUUUGGGUGGAAUCUGUGUGGCAUUAAGUUGUCGUGCAGGGGAUGCCCAUCGUUUACUGUGAAAAAAUUAGAGUGUUCAAAGCAGGCUUAUGCCGUUGAAUAUAUUAGCAUGGAAUAAUAAUAUAGGACCUUGGUACUAUUUUGUUGGUUUGCGCACUAAGGUAAUGAUUAAGAGGGACAGUUGGGGGUAUUUGUAUUCCAUUGUCAGAGGUGAAAUUCUUGGAUUUUUGGAAGACAAACUACUGCGAAAGCAUUUACCAAGGAUGUUUUCAUUAAUCAAGAACGAAAGUUAGG